This is a long non-coding RNA of Sebastes umbrosus (honeycomb rockfish), 282 nucleotides long. RefSeq lists it as uncharacterized. The transcript has 3 exons. The record is from RefSeq and is a predicted model, not a curated record. NCBI's taxonomy places the organism in Eukaryota, Metazoa, Chordata, Actinopteri, Perciformes, Sebastidae.
GUGAGCGUAGACCCAAAGUUAAAAAAAAGUGGACUCUAGAACCGAGAUAGGGGGAAGAGACGGGGGGUGUGCAACUCGUCCAACCAAUCAACAGUGUCCUUCCUCACAGUUAGGGGGUUGAUCACUUCUUUAACUGUUGUAGGUUCUGUGAGUGUCACAAGUUGAGGAACUCCUUGGUGAAAUGCAUCUCCCAAGAUAAAUUAGGACUUCCUAAAAAACACCUGUAAAAUAGAGAAAGGGGGGAAAAACUUUUGGAAUCUUCCAUAAAACACCUGAAAACAA